GGAAUUCUUUCGUAUGAUUGACUUUCGGAAAAUCGACGCUCUACUCUUACUGCCGUCCUUACAAAAACAGGGAACUUAGAAAUAAUAUCUGCUCCGGAAGAUAGUUCUCAACAAAAUACUUCUCAAGAUGAAAAUACAGAAGCUUCUGAUUUAUCAAUUAGGAGAAGACAAAGGAGGCAAUUUCAUAGAACACAGAAUAUAGAUGAUUAACUUUUAUUAAUAAUAAAGUUAUUGUAAUUUAAAAGUAUUUAUUACCUAUUUAGAAUAAAACCAA
Molecule: long non-coding RNA, 274 nt
Organism: Centruroides sculpturatus (bark scorpion)
Lineage: Eukaryota; Metazoa; Arthropoda; Arachnida; Scorpiones; Buthidae
Exons: 3
Source: RefSeq, a predicted model, not a curated record